GAGUGGGUGGGAAUGCAGUUCUCUGGUUUGAAGUUGUUUCUAUUGACUUAGCGGCGGACGGUGAUAAACUGGGCACUGCUGAAAAUUGGGAUAACUGCGGAGUAACACGUGUGGUAACCUGCCUGUAAGACUGGGAUAACUCCGGGAAACCGGGGCUAAUACCGGAUGGUUGUUUGAACCGCAUGGUUCAAACAUAAAAGGUGGCUUCGGCUACCACUUACAGAUGGAGCCGCGGCGCAUUACUGGUUUUAGAACCGGCCACCCCUUCCGGCCGGGGGUGCGCAGUGGGGCAUUGGGAACGGGCAAAAAACACGCUCGGGUUGUGCGGUUUAACUAAAAAAUCAUCUGUAACAAACUUGCCAAUGGUUCCCCUCCGAUGGUACCUCGUCAAUUUCAUAGACCCCCACGGUAAGAUCCGAGGUUCAUCGAUCAUGUCCCCCUCGCCGGCCCUCCUAGCAAAUGAACCGGCAAGCCCGCGGGAUGAUAUGGGACUGGUAUAAAGAAGGACUUACUCUAGAUCAUUAUGGUGGUACAAGACUCUACGGUGUUCACUUACGCCACUCUUAAGAAAAGCACUAACACAGAUCGUGACCCCCCAUAACUCAGUGAUGCUCUCCUUGAUACUCCCUUCACGCCCGGGUGCCGGUUCACAUAAGACGCCCCCUAGAAUUCAUACGACCACUACGCGUGGCCAUAAGUGUUAGAGAUAGGAGUUGUUUUUUUCAAUUUACAAUUUCCCCGUCCCAC
This 747-nucleotide ribosomal RNA is filed under the name bacterium OTU25. RNAcentral's name for it is "partial 16S ribosomal RNA". The stretch from base 93 to 318 matches the Rfam family "Archaeal small subunit ribosomal RNA", at positions 84 to 295 of the family's 1478-position model. The record is from RNAcentral.